UACGGAGGAUGCGAGCGUUAUCCGGAUUUAUUGGGUUUAAAGGGUGCGCAGGCGGAUUUUUAAGUCAGCGGUGAAAGUCUGUGGCUCAACCAUAAAAUUGCCGUUGAAACUGGAAGACUUGAGUGUGUUUGAGGUAGGCGGAAUGCGUGGUGUAGCGGUGAAAUGCAUAGAUAUCACGCAGAACUCCGAUUGCGAAGGCAGCAUACCGGCGCCCGACUGACGCUGAGGCACGAAAGCGUGGGGAUCGAACAGG
RNAcentral lists this ribosomal RNA (253 nucleotides) under uncultured Parabacteroides sp. RNAcentral describes it as "partial 16S ribosomal RNA". It matches the Rfam family "Bacterial small subunit ribosomal RNA", at positions 524 to 776 of the family's 1533-position model. Lineage: Bacteria; Pseudomonadati; Bacteroidota; Bacteroidia; Bacteroidales; Tannerellaceae. The record is from RNAcentral.